UCGUCCGUUGCCAUGGUGUCGUAUACAAAAGAAUUCUCAAACACAAUACCGCAGACAACGUUCAAACAAAGACGUAUUAUUGCAUUAUCUGCGCCAUUUAUUUCAAGAUAAACCGUGGAAGGGCACUGUAGGAUCUCAGUUAAUGACAUUUGCAUAGUUCUGACCAGAUUACUAAGUUUUUGGUGGUCCUUUCGCGGGGUGAUAGCAUUUCAGACGACGGGAUUUGGUUUUGCCAGGUCGGCUCAGAUAGCGGGACAAGACAAAACCUUUCCUGCUGGGCUGGUUUGCUGUGACACGAAGUGGUUGAUUGGUUAACAAAGGGAGGGCGAAAGCUGAGCCGAAAAGGUCACUAGCAAGGGGACUUAUACAAUGCACGGACAAUGACUUUUGUCACAGUUUUUGGACGCUGCCUCCUUGGCUGAAAUGGAAGCUGACCGGUGGGCACAAGGAACAAAAGACCCGGGUCUUAAGAUGUCUUUGCUGAGUCACUCGUCUUUGUCACUUCUUAAGCCAAGUUGCACUGUAAUUUUCAGCACUGGGACUUACUUAAGUCUUUGACCGUCCGAUACCAGUUUUUAUCAAUGAGAGAGCAAUCCACAGCUCGAAGUCCGAUUUCUGCGUUGGAACAGUUAAAGUUAAACUCUGAUGACUUCUAGUCACCCAGAAAACCUUGAAAGCUGUGUAAACUUUACGUAGACAGGUUUGAUUACUCUCCAAGCUGAAGUUUUUAGGUUCUUUUGUCGGCCUUUCUAUUUUGUACCUUUUUUAUGUCCCCGUGGAAAACGGUACAAAAUAGCAAGCGUGACAAAAACGCCUCAAAAACAGCCGGAACCAAACCUCUGCUUUGAGAGUAAAGUUCAGUGGUGUGACCGUGAGUGACCCACUUGGUGAGUGGGAUCUUCCCAGCCGACCCCCGCGGCGCCUUCUCACCUGACGGCUUGUUGCUAGGUAACGGGGUGUUUUGUAAGCAGAAGAUGACGACAGGAGAUAUCUACCUUACAGUGUCGCUUGAAAAUGCAGAGCUCGUGAGGAGGUGGUGAGAGCGUCAGAGCGAACACGCCAAUCGUGUUCGGUACGGGAGCGCCCUCUGGCAGCUUGAAGGUGAAGUGCUGCAUGAGGAUAGCGAAGAACAGG
This is a long non-coding RNA of Branchiostoma floridae (Florida lancelet), 1134 nucleotides long. RefSeq lists it as uncharacterized. Lineage: Eukaryota; Metazoa; Chordata; Leptocardii; Amphioxiformes; Branchiostomatidae. The transcript has 3 exons. The record is from RefSeq and is a predicted model, not a curated record.